Molecule: small RNA, 160 nt
Filed under: Arabidopsis thaliana (thale cress)
Lineage: Eukaryota; Viridiplantae; Streptophyta; Magnoliopsida; Brassicales; Brassicaceae
Description: ATSL272610
Source: RNAcentral
GCUUCUAAAGCGACGAGUGUAGCCUUCCUUCUUCUCUUAUGCUCCCGAGACUCGAAUGAUGAAUGUCUAGCAGGGACAUGUGAGACUCUCUGCUCACUAGGCUCAGGCCUGUGCUUACUUGGCUCAGGCUCAUCAAAUCUCCUCGUUGGCAUCUCUAGAG